CGCCGCCGUCGUCAUCGUGGUGGUGGAGGGAGGAGGAGGUGUCGGGUUCGUCGAGGAAGCUGAGAUCUUCUUCCUCUUCGCAGAAAACGUGAGAGGAGAAGAGGAGAAGGGUUGCGAGAGAAAGCAGAAUGAGAAUUCUCAUUGUGAUUCAGAUUUGCAGAAAACAGAGUGAGAAUUGAGAAGUGAAUGAUUAUGCUUUAUGACUGUGACUUUGAGACUUUGAGUGUAAUCGAUUCGAUGCGAGACUCGGUUGACUUUUA
RNAcentral lists this long non-coding RNA (260 nucleotides) under Lotus japonicus. RNAcentral describes it as "long non-coding RNA (LJAP_LNC000897)". The record is from RNAcentral. Lineage: Eukaryota; Viridiplantae; Streptophyta; Magnoliopsida; Fabales; Fabaceae.